GACCAGACUCCUACGGGAGGCAGCAGUGGGGAAUAUUGCACAAUGGGGGGAACCCUGAUGCAGCGACGCCGCGUGAGUGGAGAAGUAUUUCGGUAUGUAAAGCUCUAUCAGCAGGGAAGAAGAUGACGGUACCUGACUAAGAAGCCCCGGCUAACUACGUGCCAGCAGCCGUGGUAAUACGUAGGGGGCAAGCGUUAUCCGGAUUUACUGGGUGUAAAGGGAGCGUAGACGGCAGGGCAAGUCUGGAGUGAAAGCCCGGGGCCCAACCCCGGGACUGCUUUGGAAACUGUUAAGCUGGAGUGCAGGAGAGGUAAGUGGAAUUCCUAGUGUAGCGGUGAAAUGCGUAGAUAUUAGGAGGAACACCAGUGGCGAAGGCGGCUUACUGGACUGUAACUGACGUUGAGGCUCGAAAGCGUGGGGAGCAAACAGGAUUAGAUACCCCAGUA
Molecule: ribosomal RNA, 446 nt
Filed under: uncultured bacterium
Lineage: Bacteria
Description: bacterial SSU rRNA
Rfam family: Bacterial small subunit ribosomal RNA
Source: RNAcentral